RNAcentral lists this long non-coding RNA (567 nucleotides) under Felis catus (domestic cat). RNAcentral's name for it is "lncRNA (ENSFCAG00000046055.2)". Lineage: Eukaryota; Metazoa; Chordata; Mammalia; Carnivora; Felidae. The record is from RNAcentral.
CUUUAUAUGUCGUCUGUGUAAUUUUUACAACACCUCUGUUUGUUGCUGGCUCCAUUUUGCAGAUGGGGAAACCAAGACACAAAGAGAUGAUGCCAUUGUUCAAGGUCACGCAGCUAGAAGAGGGCAGAGCCGGGCUCCCAACACAGGCACUCUGGCUUGAGCCGGAAAUUUCGGCCCCUCCGCUGUACUGGAUUGUUGAUGGCGCACUGCUGCAGCCAUCCUGUGAUGAUGAGGCAAGACAUUACCAACAUGGGAAGGAGGCUGACACCUCUUUGAAGACAUCAUUGAGCCACUGGAUUUCCAAACUCUAGAACUUCUCUCCUUUGUUAUCCACCUGGGAUGGAGGUACCAUGCUGUGUAUUCUUCAAGUUUAAUUCACCGGAAAUGCCUGUCUGUGCCUUAGGACCCUGGGGAACUUCCCUCUUCACCCUUCCGGAACCUCCCAGGACUGUGCAGGGUUAGUGGAUCCUAUCCAUGCUCCUCACCUGGCCUUUGACGCUCAUGAUGCUUUGCCUGGCCUCCCAUCCUCCAGUUGUGGCUCAGUGCCACCCCUACAUCUUUAUAGGU